This 273-nucleotide small RNA is filed under the name Theropithecus gelada (gelada). RNAcentral's name for it is "Metazoan signal recognition particle RNA (ENSTGEG00000026035.1)". The record is from RNAcentral. Lineage: Eukaryota; Metazoa; Chordata; Mammalia; Primates; Cercopithecidae.
GCCAGGCAUGGUGGCUUAUGCCUGUAAUCCCAGCACUUUGGGAGGCCAAGGCAGGUGGAUCGCUUGAGGUCAGGAGUUCAAGAACAGCCUGGCCAACAUGGCAAAACCCUGUCUCUACUAAAAAUUAGCCGGGUGUGGUGGCACAUGCCUGUAAUUUCAGCUACUUGGGAGGCUGAGGCAGGAGAAUCACUUGAGACCAGGAGGUGGAGAUUGCAGUGAGCUGAGAUCAUGCCGCUGUACUCCAGCCUGGGCAAUGAAGCGAAACUCCGUCUC